This 119-nucleotide ribosomal RNA is filed under the name Pteropus alecto (black flying fox). The record is from RNAcentral. Lineage: Eukaryota; Metazoa; Chordata; Mammalia; Chiroptera; Pteropodidae.
GUCUACGGCCAUGCCACUCUGAACAUGCCCGAUCCCGUUUGAUCUUGGAAACUAAGCAGGGUCAGGCCUGGUUAGUACUUGGAUGGGAGACCACCUCAGACUACCAGGUGCUGUAGGCG